GGUCCGAGUUGUAAUUUGUAGAGGAUGUUUCGGAUAAGGCUUUGGUUUAAGUUUCUUGGAACAGAACGUCAUAGAGGGUGAGAAUCCCGUCUAGAACCGAUAGCCACGUUCAUGUGAAACUCCUUCGAC
This 129-nucleotide ribosomal RNA is filed under the name Capronia sp. RNAcentral's name for it is "partial large subunit ribosomal RNA". It matches the Rfam family "Eukaryotic large subunit ribosomal RNA", at positions 135 to 258 of the family's 3401-position model. The record is from RNAcentral. Lineage: Eukaryota; Fungi; Ascomycota; Eurotiomycetes; Chaetothyriales; Herpotrichiellaceae.